Molecule: ribosomal RNA, 230 nt
Filed under: uncultured microorganism
Description: partial 16S ribosomal RNA
Rfam family: Bacterial small subunit ribosomal RNA
Source: RNAcentral
UACGUAGGGUGCGAGCGUUGUCCGGAAUUACUGGGCGUAAAGAGCUCGUAGGCGGUUUGUCGCGUCGUCUGUGAAAUUCUGCAACUCAAUUGCAGGCGUGCAGGCGAUACGGGCAGACUUGAGUACUACAGGGGAGACUGGAAUUCCUGGUGUAGCGGUGAAAUGCGCAGAUAUCAGGAGGAACACCGGUGGCGAAGGCGGGUCUCUGGGUAGUAACUGACGCUGAGGAG